GACGAACGCUGGCGGCGUGCUUAACACAUGCAAGUCGAACGGAAAGGCCCUGCUUUUGUGGGGUGCUCGAGUGGCGAACGGGUGAGUAACACGUGAGUAACCUGCCCUUGACUUUGGGAUAACUUCAGGAAACUGGGGCUAAUACCGGAUAGGAGCUCCUGCUGCAUGGUGGGGGUUGGAAAGUUUCGGCGGUUGGGGAUGGACUCGCGGCUUAUCAGCUUGUUGGUGGGGUAGUGGCUUACCAAGGCUUUGACGGGUAGCCGGCCUGAGAGGGUGACCGGCCACAUUGGGAUUGGGAUACGGCCCAGACUCCUACGGGAGGCAGCAGUGGGGAAUAUUGCACAAUAGGCGGAAGCCUGAUGCAGCAACGCCGCGUGCGGGAUGACGGCCUUCGGGUUGUAAACCGCUUUCGCCUGUGACGAAGCGUGAGUGACGGUAAUGGGUAAAGAAGCACCGGCUAACUACGUG
Molecule: ribosomal RNA, 468 nt
Filed under: uncultured bacterium
Lineage: Bacteria
Description: partial 16S ribosomal RNA
Rfam family: Bacterial small subunit ribosomal RNA
Source: RNAcentral